AGAGUUUGAUCCUGGCUCAGGAUGAACGCUAGCUACAGGCUUAACACAUGCAAGUCGAGGGGUAACAGGAGAGAAGCUUGCUUUUCUUGCUGACGACCGGCGCACGGGUGAGUAACGCGUAUCCAACCUUCCCCUUAGUAGAGGAUAGCCCGGCGAAAGUCGGAUUAAUACUCUAUGUUCUUUCUGGAUGGCAUCUGAUGGAAAGCAAAGGUUUACCGCUAAGGGAUGGGGAUGCGUCUGAUUAGCUUGUCGGCGGGGUAACGGCCCACCGAGGCGACGAUCAGUAGGGGUUCUGAGAGGAAGGUCCCCCACAUUGGUACUGAGACACGGACCAAACUCCUACGGGAGGCAGCAGUGAGGAAUAUUGGUCAAUGGGCGAGAGCCUGAACCAGCCAAGUAGCGUGCAGGAUGACUGCCCUAUGGGUUGUAAACUGCUUUUAUAGGGGAAUAAAGUGAGCCACGUGUGGCUUUUUGUAUGUACCCUAUGAAUAAGGACCGGCUAAUUCCGUGCCAGCAGCCGCGGUAAUACGGAAGGUCCGGGCGUUAUCCGGAUUUAUUGGGUUUAAAGGGAGCGCAGGCUGAAGGUUAAGCGUGACGUGAAAUGUACCGGCUCAACCGGUGAAUUGCGUCGCGAACUGGUCUUCUUGAGUGAGUACGAGGAAGGCGGAAUUCGUGGUGUAGCGGUGAAAUGCUUAGAUAUCACGAAGAACUCCGAUUGCGAAGGCAGCCUUCCAGUCCUUAACUGACGCUAAAGCUCGAAAGUGCGGGUAUCGAACAGGAUUAGAUACCCUGGUAGUCCGCACGGUAAACGAUGGAUGCCCGCUGUUGGCGAUACACAGUCAGCGGCCAAGCGAAAGCGUUAAGCAUCCCACCUGGGGAGUACGCCGGCAACGGUGAAACUCAAAGGAAUUGACGG
This 916-nucleotide ribosomal RNA is filed under the name uncultured bacterium. RNAcentral's name for it is "bacterial SSU rRNA". It matches the Rfam family "Bacterial small subunit ribosomal RNA", at positions 8 to 916 of the family's 1533-position model. The record is from RNAcentral.